CUGCACAGAUUUAAAUAGUGGUGCCUUUAACAACAGUGCAUAGAUGCAAAGCCGUUCAGGCGGCAGCGGCCAGACAACCGUGGGGAUGGAUCCACAGAUGACUGAUCUUUGAUGCCAGUUAUCUACUAAUUCUAUCGCAUAUUC
Phoenix dactylifera (date palm) is the source of this 144-nucleotide non-coding RNA. NCBI's taxonomy places the organism in Eukaryota, Viridiplantae, Streptophyta, Magnoliopsida, Arecales, Arecaceae. The record is from RefSeq and is a predicted model, not a curated record.